ACCCAUGUGGCGAAAUUGGUAGACGCGCAUAGUUCAGAACUAUGUUUUUAAAUAAAUAUAUUGGGGGUUCAAUUCCCCCCUUGGGUA
Molecule: transfer RNA, 87 nt
Filed under: Candidatus Profftella armatura
Lineage: Bacteria; Pseudomonadati; Pseudomonadota; Betaproteobacteria
Description: tRNA-Leu (CAG) (tRNA-Leu-CAG-1-1)
Rfam family: tRNA
About the family: Transfer RNA (tRNA) molecules are approximately 80 nucleotides in length. Their secondary structure includes four short double-helical elements and three loops (D, anti-codon, and T loops). Further hydrogen bonds mediate the characteristic L-shaped molecular structure. tRNAs have two regions of fundamental functional importance: the anti-codon, which is responsible for specific mRNA codon recognition, and the 3' end, to which the tRNAs corresponding amino acid is attached (by aminoacyl-tRNA synthetases). tRNAs cope with the degeneracy of the genetic code in two manners: having more than one tRNA (with a specific anti-codon) for a particular amino acid; and 'wobble' base-pairing, i.e. permitting non-standard base-pairing at the 3rd anti-codon position.
Source: Rfam by way of RNAcentral